CAGGGCGACGGGGAGGGGGCGGGGCGCCGGCCGUACGCUCCCGAGGGCUUACCUUGACUCAGUGGCCACCCCGCGGACCUUCAGAUGGCAGAGCCACCGGGGGAUUUCUGCACCGAUGAGGGCUGUGCAGGUGACGUCGUCGUAGAAAAGUACCUGGCGGAGUCCAAGGAGUCCGCAUCGCACGUCCAGCUGGCGUGCCGGGGGCCGCACUGCGCCUUCCCCGUGGAUGGCAGUGAGCUUGGUGUAUGGAACGCCGGGGACCCUUCUCGCCAGCUUCUAAUCUUAAGAGGACACCAUCAGCCAAUUACUGCUGUGGCGUUUGGAAACACAGCGGAUCCACUUCUGAUCUGUUCUGCGUCACAAGAUUAUGUUAUAAAGUGGAACCUAUGAAUGCCGA
Molecule: long non-coding RNA, 397 nt
Organism: Pteropus alecto (black flying fox)
Lineage: Eukaryota; Metazoa; Chordata; Mammalia; Chiroptera; Pteropodidae
Exons: 3
Source: RefSeq, a predicted model, not a curated record